Molecule: long non-coding RNA, 306 nt
Organism: Austrofundulus limnaeus
Lineage: Eukaryota; Metazoa; Chordata; Actinopteri; Cyprinodontiformes; Rivulidae
Exons: 4
Source: RefSeq, a predicted model, not a curated record
UGGAGGACGACUGCUCUAACCACUGAGCCAAAGUGAUCAGAAUGAAAUCAAGAGAGUGGUCUGUUGGGUGGUGCUGUCAGUGGUGCAGCUGGGAUCAAUACUCCUGAUGAGGCUGCACGGCAGAAAAAAGUCAGCUUGGCCCACCCCUCAGCCUGUCAGUCCACUCUCAUCUCAUCUAACCUUCUCUGGACGGUAGAUAGUACUGCUUUGUGACAGAACUUUAAACAAAGUGAGAUGAUCCCGUCUGCACAGACACCAGCGCCAGUCAUCGGGCUGUUCAACAUGAAGGCAAACAAAGGUUUGAUA